This 496-nucleotide ribosomal RNA is filed under the name uncultured bacterium. RNAcentral describes it as "partial 16S ribosomal RNA". It matches the Rfam family "Bacterial small subunit ribosomal RNA", at positions 28 to 507 of the family's 1533-position model. The record is from RNAcentral.
GAUGAACGCUGGCGGCGUGCCUAAUACAUGCGAGUCGAGCGAACAGACGAGGAGCUUGCUCCUCUGACGUUAGCGGCGGACGGGUGAGUAACACGUGGAUAACCUACCUAUAAGACUGGGAUACUUCGGGAAACCGGAGCUAAUACCGGAUAACAUGUUGAACCGCAUGGUUCAACAGUGAAAGACGGUCUUGCUGUCACUUAUAGAUGGAUCCGCGCCGCAUUAGCUAGUUGGUAAGGUAACGGCUUACCAAGGCAACGAUGCGUAGCCGACCUGAGAGGGUGAUCGGCCACACUGGAACUGAGACACGGUCCAGACUCCUACGGGAGGCAGCAGUAGGGAAUCUUCCGCAAUGGGCGAAAGCCUGACGGAGCAACGCCGCGUGAGUGAAGAAGGUCUUCGGAUCGUAAAACUCUGUUAUUAGGGAAGAACAAAUGUGUAAGUAACUAUGCACGUCUUGACGGUACCUAAUCAGAAAGCCACGGCUAACUACGUG